AGCGGCGGACGGGUGAGUAACACGUGGGUAACCUGCCCAUAAGACUGGGAUAACUCCGGGAAACCGGGGCUAAUACCGGAUAACAUUUUGAACCGCAUGGUUCGAAAUUGAAAGGCGGCUUCGGCUGUCACUUAUGGAUGGACCCGCGUCGCAUUAGCUAGUUGGUGAGGUAACGGCUCACCAAGGCAACGAUGCGUAGCCGACCUGAGAGGGUGAUCGGCCACACUGGGACUGAGACACGGCCCAGACUCCUACGGGAGGCAGCAGUAGGGAAUCUUCCGCAAUGGACGAAAGUCUGACGGAGCAACGCCGCGUGAGUGAUGAAGGCUUUCGGGUCGUAAAACUCUGUUGUUAGGGAAGAACAAGUGCUAGUUGAAUAAGCUGGCACCUUGACGGUACCUAACCAGAAAGCCACGGCUAACUACGUGCCAGCAGCCGCGGUAAUACGUAGGUGGCAAGCGUUAUCCGGAAUUAUUGGGCGUAAAGCGCGCGCAGGUGGUUUCUUAAGUCUGAUGUGAAAGCCCACGGCUCAACCGUGGAGGGUC
RNAcentral lists this ribosomal RNA (545 nucleotides) under Bacillus cereus. Its description in RNAcentral is "bacterial SSU rRNA". It matches the Rfam family "Bacterial small subunit ribosomal RNA", at positions 94 to 624 of the family's 1533-position model. The record is from RNAcentral. Lineage: Bacteria; Bacillati; Bacillota; Bacilli; Caryophanales; Bacillaceae.